This 1743-nucleotide unclassified non-coding RNA is filed under the name Hevea brasiliensis (rubber tree). Lineage: Eukaryota; Viridiplantae; Streptophyta; Magnoliopsida; Malpighiales; Euphorbiaceae. The record is from RNAcentral.
GCAGAUUUCUCCUUUGCAUUGUUUACAGGCGGGUUGUCAAAUCCAAAGCUGGUAGGUGUUUCAAAUUACAUAUCAUUUGCAAAUCCUAAAGCACCACUUUAUCCACGGCUUGCUUUGGGGAAAUCAUGGAAUGAAAUGACAUUGACCUGGACAAGCGGCUAUAAUUUACUUGAAGCUGUUCCUUUCAUUGAAUGGGGUCGGAAGGGUGAUCCCCAACAUCGCUCACCAGCAGGAACAUUGACAUUUGAUAGAAAUACAAUGUGUGGUUCACCUGCUCGAACAGUUGGCUGGCGUGAUCCAGGGUUCAUACAUACUAGCUUCAUGAAGGAUCUUUGGCCAAGCACCUUGUACACAUACAAGAUGGGUCAUAUGUUGUCAAAUGGUUCCUACGUUUGGAGUAAGAUGUAUUCCUUUAGAUCAUCACCAUAUCCAGGACAAGACUCAUUGCAGCGUGUUAUAAUUUUUGGAGACAUGGGAAAGGCUGAGCGGGAUGGUUCAAAUGAGUAUAGUAAUUAUCAGCCAGGCUCACUGAAUACAACGGACCAACUCAUCAAUGACCUUAAAAACAUUGAUAUAGUUUUCCAUAUAGGAGACAUUACCUAUGCCAAUGGAUACAUAUCACAGUGGGACCAAUUUACUGCACAAGUGGAACCUGUUGCAUCAACAGUACCCUAUAUGAUUGCAAGUGGUAAUCAUGAGCGUGAUUGGCCUGGAACUGGUUCCUUCUAUGAUGUUAUGGACUCUGGUGGAGAAUGUGGAGUGCUAGCUCAGACCAUGUUUUAUGUUCCUGCUGAUAAUAGAGCUAACUUUUGGUAUUCCACAGAUUAUGGCAUGUUUCACUUCUGCAUAGCAGACAGUGAGCAUGAUUGGAGAGAGGGGUCUGAGCAAUACAGAUUUAUUGAACAUUGUCUUGCAUCAGUAGACAGACAGAAGCAGCCUUGGCUGAUAUUUGCUGCUCAUCGGGUUCUUGGUUACUCUUCAGACAAAUGGUAUGGCUUAGAAGGCUCAUUUGAGGAGCCCAUGGGAAGGGAAAGCUUGCAGAAGCUUUGGCAGAAGUAUAAAGUGGAUAUUGCAUUUUAUGGUCAUGUCCAUAACUAUGAAAGAACUUGUCCCAUUUAUCAGAACCAAUGUGUUAACUCGGAAAGAUCACACUAUUCUGGUAUUGUUAAUGGAACAAUCCAUGUUGUUGUGGGUGGCGGAGGAAGCCACUUAUCAGAGUUCACCCCAAUUAAUACCACUUGGAGUCUUCACAGGGAUUACGAUUGGGGAUUUGUCAAGCUUACAGCAUUUAAUCAUUCAUCACUACUUUUUGAAUACAAAAAGAGUAGGGACGGCAAAGUUUAUGAUUCUUUCACCAUCUCAAGAGACUAUAAAGACGUCUUAGCUUGUGUUCACGAUGGUUGUGAGCCAACCACUUUUGCAUCUUAAAUCAAACUGUACAUGUAUACUAGGGAAAAGAAUUCAGCUACAGAAUUUGUUGAAAUUGGUUCCAAUACAAUACAAGAAGCCAUAAUGUACAUUUUCUUUGGUUUUAGCAAAUCUAUUUUCACUCAUGACUGAAUACAGUUUUCGAGCCCUGUUUGAACAAUAUUACGUCAAUGAUGAAUUGUUGGACACCGGAGCAAAAGUUAAGCUGUGGGCCUGCAUUCAGAAGCUAAGGAUUUUCAGAGCCCAUUAAUCUUCUUCAUGUAAAAGUUUAGUGUGCCCAAAUUAUGAAUAAAGGGUAGACAAGAUGAGGAGAAA